This is a long non-coding RNA of Zonotrichia leucophrys gambelii, 482 nucleotides long. RefSeq lists it as uncharacterized. The record is from RefSeq and is a predicted model, not a curated record. The transcript has 5 exons. NCBI's taxonomy places the organism in Eukaryota, Metazoa, Chordata, Aves, Passeriformes, Passerellidae.
CUUGAAUAUUAAGGCUGCGGCAGUACUUGGCUGGUUGGUUGGCGGAAGGUGUUGUGUCUGCUGUGGUGGUUCGCGCGGCCGGGGACUGUGUGCGCGUCCUCGCAGGACUGGCAGCUCUGGCCUGGCAGUGCCCCCCCCAGUGCCCAGUUUCACCCCCUAUGUGGACGAGCCAGCUGAGCCACAGAUGAUGUGAGUUGGAGUUUGGGAUGGGGAAUUGCAUCUGGGAUUCUCAAAGCUGCUUCCUGAAAUGGGACUUGUUUUAUGUAGGUUGGCUUCCCCCACUGGCUGCUGUUCCAUUUUUCUCUAUAUUUAUGAAUCUCUUCUUUGACAAAUCAGAAUACAAGUUGUUCAGCAGAUGGUGCCCAUGAGAAAAGUGCCCGUCAGCCUCUCUCUGUUCGUGAUGCUGUGGAUUCUCUGAGUGCCAAGGAAAGCACGGCAGCAGGAGCAGGAGCCUGUGAUGAGCUGAAUGGAAUUGAACGCUU